RNAcentral lists this ribosomal RNA (448 nucleotides) under uncultured bacterium. RNAcentral's name for it is "bacterial SSU rRNA". It matches the Rfam family "Bacterial small subunit ribosomal RNA", at positions 329 to 794 of the family's 1533-position model. The record is from RNAcentral.
UGCCAGACUCCUACGGGAGGCAGCAGUGGGGAAUAUUGCACAAUGGGGGAAACCCUGAUGCAGCGACGCCGCGUGAGUGAAGAAGUAUUUCGGUAUGUAAAGCUCUAUCAGCAGGGAAGAAAAUGACGGUACCUGACUAAGAAGCCCCGGCUAACUACGUGCCAGCAGCCGCGGUAAUACGUAGGGGGCAAGCGUUAUCCGGAUUUACUGGGUGUAAAGGGAGCGUAGACGGUUAUGCAAGUCUGAAGUGAAAGCCCAAGGCUCAACCAUGGGACUGCUUUGGAAACUGUAAAACUGGAGUGCAGGAGAGGUAAGCGGAAUUCCUAGUGUAGCGGUGAAAUGCGUAGAUAUUAGGAGGAACACCAGUGGCGAAGGCGGCUUACUGGACUGUAACUGACGUUGAGGCUCGAAGGCGUGGGGAGCGAACAGGAUUAGAUACCCCCGUACU